CUUAGAAAGAUUCCCUUGCUCUUGAAAAGGAACGCAGGGAAAGGAUUUUCUGUCUUGCAAUGUUUGGAUGUAAUUGUGUGAGCUCAUGAUGCCUGAUGGUGCCGCAGUCGUCUUAUGACCAUGAGGGGACAAACGUGAGGACAAAAAGCUAACACUCUGAGUGUGACAGAGCCGAAAGAUGAAAAGAACCUGGGUUCUUGAUGGGACGUUGAGCCCCUGAACUAACCAGCCUUGAAACUUCUCUGCCUCUUGUUUUCUCAUUAUGUGAGAUUAAAAACCCCCUGAUUGUUGGGGACAUUUUGAGUUAGGUGUUCUAUUGCUUCCUGCCACAAGUGUUCUAAUAUUAGAGCCUUACGUAGGGGCGCCUGGCUGGCUCGGUUGGUAGAGCAUUAGAGCAUGUAACUCUUUUUAUUAUUAUUUUACUUUUUUGAGGGGGGGCGCAAGUGAGCAAGGGGCAGAGAGAGGGGGGGAGAGAGAAUCCCACGAGGGGUGGAAGAGAGAGAGAGAGAAGUGGAACUCACCCAAAGCAGGGCUCAAGCUCACCUGAAGAGGGGCUUGUGCUCCCCGAGGUGGGACUCGAACUCAUGAACUGUGAGAUCAUGACCUGAGCCAAAGUCGGACGCUUAACCGACUGAGCCACCCUGGCGCCCUCUAACUUCUUGAUAGUGAGGUAUUAGACUGUGAUUUUUUUCUAAGUUGGACCCUCUUCAUUCUAAUAAUUGUUGAUUGUCCAUGACGGUUUAGCUGUCAUGGGGGUCUGGGGCCGACGGCCAAGAAAGAAUUCUUGAGACACCUUCAGUGCAAAAGGGUGAUUCUAUUCAAGCAUGAGGGCAGGAUCUGUGGGCAGGAAGAGCUGUCUGAGCAUGUAACUAUUGAAAUAAUAAAAAUAUUAAGAUCCUUUUAAUUAUGUAUAUCCCUGCCAGUGCAAACAUAACCCUGGGAGAGCAAAGAGAUUCUAUGCCCCCUUCCUUUCCUCAGCAUGUGGCCUUCCUCUGCUUGCAGCUCCUGGUCAACCAGACUGAUCUGCUUCUUCCUUUCCGUCUCUUCCGGGAGUCUUGGCUGAACUUAAACCAUAAAUCGAAGGCACACAGAGAACAUCAGCAGGUUCGGAAAAUAUACCUUCUCUCCUUUUACGUGCAACCGGAAUGGAGCCACAGCCUGAUUUGCUGGUGGUGUUGAGGAGCAAGGAGGCUCACUCCGGAAGAAUCACCUCCCCCAGGAAGCCCAGCCAGAGGAUUCUGAUCCCAGGGCGGUUCCAAAACUUCCCCAGCCUAAGGAGCUUGGAGCAUGACGCCUGGGACAAGAACCAAACCAGAGUCUGAGGGCUCCAAGGUAUAAAUAGGGAUCACUCCACUGGUUGUUCCCCUGCAUGGAGGCCCUUGCGUCCUCGAGAGGAAAAAGCCUGUGAGAUUGUUUCACCUUUUCUGACCUCCUUGGUUUCCCCUACUCUUUCUCCCUUCUCUACCUCAGCCUUCCUCUUCUCUCUCCACUUCCAUUUCUCCCUUCCCUCUCUCCCCCCCUUUCCCCAUCUCCAUUUGCUCAGUCACCUCCCUUCCCUCAAGCCAGGUGUCUGCAGACAGAAUUCACCUAGGGAGGGACAAAACUUCUUUUUCUUCCUCUCUUCCUCCUCCUCCUCCUCCUUCUUCUUCCUCUUCUUUCUUCUUCCUCUUCCUCCCCCUCCUCCUUUUUUUUUUUUUUUUUUUACGUGCAAAUAAUAUUUUAUUUCUUCCUCUGGUUGCUAGUAACAUCGUUGCACAUUUUUUUGUGAAAACUCAUCUUGCCCCACUAUGAGAACUUGUAACAGACACAGGCAAUGGCCCUCGCUGGCUGCGAGCCCCACAGGCUCCCGAUCCAGGAGCUCGGACCGGCUGGGCCCAGCUGUCAGAUGAGAGCCUGUGUGGCCUGCAGGCAGAGGGCAGGCAGGGCAGUUUGUCGGGUAUCAGACUCUUUGAACUUGACUGUUCAGCUGUCACUAGGCCUCUCCACGCAGAAGGUAGGGGGAGAUGGAUGGCAGAGUGUCACGAUCCGAUCGCACAAAAGAGCCUCCUGGUGACUGGCCUGAUGGGCAGGAGCCCCUUCCUGUCUCAUUUCAGGCGCGUGCAUGUGCUCCAGCUUGUGCCUGGUUAGAGAGGGGGUAACCAGGGCUCCUCUAGCGGGGGCUGGGAGCUGGGGUCCUACCUCCUCGUUCCCAUGGAAUUGUGAGGACCACUCAGCAUCUUCUUGAGGAAAGUGGGGGAGGAGUGCCUACACGUCCCAGAGUUUUCCACCGGCUCUAAGCUUCUGCAGGCCAGACAGAAGGGCUCACAGAGUCUGCCAGGUGGGCCAGCAUAAAGUCUACACCUCCUUUCGGGUAAUCGAAGUCACCAGAGAGUUGGGGAAGGAAGUCACUGCCCUCCUUGGACCACCUGACUGCGGUCUCCUCUGAAAAUGCAUCCUUCGACCACAGAUGAGAUCGCGUGUAUGUUCCAGCCCCGGCUCCAUCCUGACACACGGGCCCCGGCUUUCCCCACGCUUCCCCUCUCUGUACAGGCACUGCUGUUCCUUCUCCUCCAGAGAAUCUUGGCACAUCACCCGAUCAAGGAGCAGCGUCAAGCUUCUGGGGAGCAGGGCUCUGAAAGCCACAAGGAUGUUUAAUACAUGCUUCCUUUAUUCCCCGAGUCCCCUACUCAACAGCAUGUAUGCUUGGAAAAAAUGUCAGGUAUCACUUAAUCCAACCCUUUUCUUUAACCAAUGUGGAAGGCAAGUCCCAGUGACUGGCCUAGGCCUGGGACCAGGUGUCUUGGUUUGUGGUUAGGUCAUCUUUCCAUGCAACACGAGCCAUCUGUUUUGGGUUUUUUUAAAUGUUUAUUUAUUUUUGAGAGAGAGAGAGCACAUGCGCACGAGUGGAAGAGGGGCAGAGAGAGAGGAAGACACAGAAUCCGAAGCAGGCUCCAGGCUCUGAGCUGUCAGCACAGCGCCCAAUCCGGAGCUUGAACUCAUGAACUGUGAGAAUGUGACCUGAGCUGAAGUCGGAGGCUUAACCGAUGGAGCCACCCAGGCGCCUCCAACAAGAGCCAUCUUAAGUGUAAACCCCUCUGCCUAGCUUUCCUGCCCUCCAUAAACCAGCCCUACCUACUCAGGAUGCCCACAGCUGUACCACAAACCUCUUCGGCCCUAGUCAGGCUGUCCUUACUGGGUCUCUGUUGUUCUCCGUCAUGUUCCCCGGAGUUUACCCAUCCAAAUCCCAGCCAUCCCUCAAGGCCUUAGGAUCAACUCAGCACAGAAUGUUCUUAAUGAUCAUGCUGUUGGACCAGAGCAGGAGACUUGUUCAAGACUACAGAGCUCAUUAUCAGCUGGCCCAGGAAGAACCCCUGCCUUGACCUCCUGCAUCCUUUCAUGUGGGGUGGCCCUGUCUCCUCCUCAGGGACCUACUGACCGGUGAAUGGCCUAUCAAUUGUAAACUGACUCUGAAAGGCAUUGAACCCAUGGGGGAACUGCUGGGAAAUGAGAACAAUCUCCCACUGUACUGGGUUGAAUGGUAGCUUGCCAAAAAGAUGUCGACGUGUCAGAACCCGUGAUGGUGACCUUAUUUGGAAGAAGGGUCUUUGCAAGAUGUAGUUAAGGAUCUCGAUAUUAUCCUGGAUUAGCCAGGUCAUCCAGUUUAAUGGCAAGACAGAAAAGAGAAGACAGACACCGAGAAGAAGGCCAUGUGAAGACAGAGGCAGAGAUUAGAGACGCCGCCACGAGCCAGGAAACACCAGGAGCCGCCAGGAGCUGGAAGAGGCAAGGAAGGAUUCUCCCCUACCGCCUUUGGAGGAACAGCCCUCCCAACAUCUUGGUUUUGGACUUCCAGCCUCCAGAACUGUGAGAAUGAAUUUUUGUUGUUUGAAGCCCCCAAGUUAUGGUAAUCUUUUAUGACCUUCCUAUUUUCCUAGGAAAUUCAUAUGCUCCCCCCCUUUAAAAAAAUGACACUGACUUUUUUAAAAGUCUAGGAAUUGUUGUAUUAUCGAAUGUCCCAAUUCUGAAAUUGUCUUCAGAUUGACCUUUUAAAGUCAUAAAUCAGAUCAAGUCAUUCCCUUGCUUAAAACCCUCCAACGGCUUUUCAUUGCAUUAAAAUAAAAUAAGCUAUAAACUCUUUA
Long non-coding RNA from Felis catus (domestic cat), 4118 nucleotides. RefSeq lists it as uncharacterized. The transcript has 2 exons. NCBI's taxonomy places the organism in Eukaryota, Metazoa, Chordata, Mammalia, Carnivora, Felidae. The record is from RefSeq and is a predicted model, not a curated record.